RNAcentral lists this small RNA (323 nucleotides) under Callithrix jacchus (white-tufted-ear marmoset). RNAcentral's name for it is "Metazoan signal recognition particle RNA (ENSCJAG00000082555.1)". Lineage: Eukaryota; Metazoa; Chordata; Mammalia; Primates; Cebidae. The record is from RNAcentral.
GCUGGGCAUGGUGGCCUGCGCCUGUAGUCCCAGCUACUCGGAGGCUGAGGCAGGAGAAUUGCUUGAACCCAGGAGGCGGAGGUUGCGGUGAGCCGAGAUCGCGCCAUUGCACUCCAGCCUGGGUAACGAGCGAAACUCCGUCUCAAAAAAAAAAAAAAAAAAACUGGGUUGGUGUGUGCCUUUGAGAGCUUGAUACCAAUUGAUAAGGCUUUCUUUUUUUUUUUUUUGGAGCCUUGCUCAUUUGCCCAGGUUGGAAUGCAGUGGCACAGUCUCAGCUCACUGCAACCUCUGCCUCUAGGGUUCAAGCAAUUCUCCUGCCUCAG